AUGAGGCCCUUCCCGAUUCCCGUUUAAUGUGAUUUUUCAACCAUUGUGGUCACCGUUUCUUUCUCUACAGGUUGACCAGAGCAAAACACUCAACCACAACGUGAGCCAGAGGAUCCACCGCACCGGAGAGCCCCACCGCCGGUGAGUUUUGAUUUUUUACAUUUUUUCAGCCCACCGAAGGUCCUAAGUGUAUUUUCUCACAGGAACCGAUACAAAUUUUACUGAAUUCGACCGAAAAUAGCUAACCCGAGGUGGAUCGUCGUUGCGGGCUGAGGCGAUGUCGCCGGAGCACGGUGGAGC
Molecule: long non-coding RNA, 300 nt
Filed under: Carica papaya (papaya)
Lineage: Eukaryota; Viridiplantae; Streptophyta; Magnoliopsida; Brassicales; Caricaceae
Description: long non-coding RNA (CPAP_LNC011670)
Source: RNAcentral